ACCUUGAAAUACCACCCUUUAAUGUUUGAUGUUCUAACGUGGACCCGUAAUCCGGGUUGCGGACAGUGUCUGGUGGGUAGUUUGACUGGGGCGGUCUCCUCCUAAAGAGUAACGGAGGAGCACGAAGGUUGGCUAAUCCUGGUCGGACAUCAGGAGGUUAGUGCAAUGGCAUAAGCCAGCUUGACUGCGAGCGUGACGGCGCGAGCAGGUGCGAAAGCAGGUCAUAGUGAUCCGGUGGUUCUGAAUGGAAGGGCCAUCGCUCAACGGAUAAAAGGUACUCCGGGGAUAACAGGCUGAUACCGCCCAAGAGUUCAUAUCGACGGCGGUGUUUGGCACCUCGAUGUCGGCUCAUCACAUCCUGGGGCUGAAGUAGGUCCCAAGGGUAUGGCUGUUCGCCAUUUAAAGUGGUACGCGAGCUGGGUUUAGAACGUCGUGAGACAGUUCGGUCCCUAUCUGCCGUGGGCGCUGGAGAACUGAGGGGGGCUGCUCCUAGUACGAGAGGACCGGAGUGGACGCAUCACUGGUGUUCGGGUUGUCAUGCCAAUGGCACUGCCCGGUAGCUAAAUGCGGAAGAGAUAAGUGCUGAAAGCAUCUAAGCACGAAACUUGCCCCGAGAUGAGUUCUCCCUGAGACUUAGAGUCUCCUGAAGGAACGUUGAAGACGACGACGUUGAUAGGCCGGGUGUGUAAGCGCAGCGAUGCGUUGAGCUAACCGGUACUAAUGAACCGUGAGGCUUAACCUUACAACGCCGAA
RNAcentral lists this ribosomal RNA (753 nucleotides) under Salmonella enterica. RNAcentral describes it as "partial 23S ribosomal RNA". It matches the Rfam family "Bacterial large subunit ribosomal RNA", at positions 2189 to 2925 of the family's 2925-position model. The record is from RNAcentral. Lineage: Bacteria; Pseudomonadati; Pseudomonadota; Gammaproteobacteria; Enterobacterales; Enterobacteriaceae.